AAGCAACGCGAAGAACUUACCAGGCCUUGACAUGCAGAGAACUUUCCAGAGAUGGAUUGGUGCCUUCGGGAACUCUGACACAGGUGCUGCAUGGCUGUCGCCAGCUCGUGUCGUGAGAUGUUGGGUUAAGUCCCGUAACGAGCGCAACCCUUGUCCUUAGUUACCAGCACGUUAUGGUGGGCACUCUAAGGAGACUGCCGGUGGACAAACCGGAGGAAGGUGGGGAUGACGUCAAGUCAUCAUGGCCCUUACGGCCUGGGCUACACACGUGCUACAAUGGUCGGUACAAAGGGUUGCCAAGCCGCGAGGUGGAGCUAAUCCCAUAAAACCGAAUCGUAGUCCGGAUCGCAGUCUGCAACUCGACUGCGUGAAGUCGGAAUCGCUAGUAAUCGUGAAUCAGAAUGUCACGGUGAAUACGUUCCCGGGCCUU
This 430-nucleotide ribosomal RNA is filed under the name uncultured Pseudomonas sp. RNAcentral describes it as "bacterial SSU rRNA". It matches the Rfam family "Bacterial small subunit ribosomal RNA", at positions 954 to 1382 of the family's 1533-position model. The record is from RNAcentral. Lineage: Bacteria; Pseudomonadati; Pseudomonadota; Gammaproteobacteria; Pseudomonadales; Pseudomonadaceae.